RNAcentral lists this ribosomal RNA (474 nucleotides) under uncultured bacterium. RNAcentral describes it as "bacterial SSU rRNA". It matches the Rfam family "Bacterial small subunit ribosomal RNA", at positions 28 to 507 of the family's 1533-position model. The record is from RNAcentral.
GAUGAACGCUAGCGGCAGGCUUAACACAUGCAAGUCGAGGGGCAGCAUGAGACGGAGAUUCGUCGAAGUCUUGAUGGCGACCGGCGCAAGGGUGCGUAACGCGUGAGCAACUUGCCCGUUUCAGGGGGAUAACCGGUGGAAACGCCGACUAAUACCCCAUAGUAUUGAGUUUAGGCAUCUUUACUCAAUUAAAGAAUUUCGGAAACGGAUAGGCUCGCGUCUGAUUAGAUAGUUGGUGGGGUAACGGCCUACCAAGUCGACGAUCAGUAGCCGGACUGAGAGGUUGAUCGGCCACAUUGGGACUGAGACACGGCCCAGACUCCUACGGGAGGCAGCAGUGGGGAAUAUUGCGCAAUGGGGGCAACCCUGACGCAGCAACGCCGCGUGAAGGAUGAAGGUCUUCGGAUUGUAAACUUCUGUUCUGAGGGACGAACAAGGACGGUACCUCAGGAGGAAGCCACGGCUAACUACGUG